This 301-nucleotide ribosomal RNA is filed under the name uncultured bacterium. RNAcentral describes it as "bacterial SSU rRNA". It matches the Rfam family "Bacterial small subunit ribosomal RNA", at positions 28 to 323 of the family's 1533-position model. The record is from RNAcentral.
GAUGAACGCUAGCUACAGGCUUAACACAUGCAAGUCGAGGGGCAGCAUGAACAAAGCUUGCUUUGUUUGAUGGCGACCGGCGCACGGGUGCGUAACACGUAUCCAAUCUGCCCGCGGCUCGGGGAUAGCCCAUCGAAAGAUGGAUUAAUACCCGAUGGCGUGGUCACUCCGCAUGGAGUUUCCACUAAAGGUUUUCCGGCCGCGGAUGAGGAUGCGUAUGAUUAGCUGGUUGCGGGUAACGGCCCACCAAGGCGACGAUCGUAGGGGUUCUGAGAGGAAGGUCCCCCANACUGGAACUGAG